CCUACGGGAGGCUGCAGUCGAGAAUCUUCGGCAAUGGGCGCAAGCCUGACCGAGCGACGCCGCGUGCGCGAUGAAGGCCUUCGGGUUGUAAAGCGCUGUCGAGGGGGAGGAAAGCCGCAAGGCCUGACCGACCCCUGGAGGAAGCACGGGCUAAGUUCGUGCCAGCAGCCGCGGUAAGACGAACCGUGCGAACGUUGUUCGGAAUCACUGGGCUUAAAGGGCGCGUAGGCGGCCCGCACAGUCUCGGGUGAAAGCCCCCGGCUCAACCGGGGAAGGGCCUGGGAUACUGGCGGGCUCGAGGGGGAUAGGGGCGGACGGAACUUCCGGUGGAGCGGUGAAAUGCGUUGAUAUCGGAAGGAACGCCGGUGGCGAAAGCGGUCCGCUGGGUCCCCACUGACGCUGAGGCGCGAAAGCCAGGGGAGCAAACGGGAUUAGAUACC
RNAcentral lists this ribosomal RNA (440 nucleotides) under uncultured bacterium. RNAcentral describes it as "bacterial SSU rRNA". It matches the Rfam family "Bacterial small subunit ribosomal RNA", at positions 338 to 786 of the family's 1533-position model. The record is from RNAcentral.